This 440-nucleotide ribosomal RNA is filed under the name uncultured bacterium. Its description in RNAcentral is "partial 16S ribosomal RNA". It matches the Rfam family "Bacterial small subunit ribosomal RNA", at positions 338 to 795 of the family's 1533-position model. The record is from RNAcentral.
CCUACGGGUGGCAGCAGUGGGGAAUAUUGCACAACGUGGGAAACCCUGAUGCAGCGACGCCGCGUGAGUGAAGAAGUAUUUCGGUACGUAAAGCUCUAUCAGCAGGGAAGAAAAUGACGGUACCUGACUAAGAAGCCCCGGCUAACUACGUGCCAGCAGCCGCGGUAAUACGUAGGGGGCAAGCGUUAUCCGGAUUUACUGGGUGUAAAGGGAGCGUAGACGGCAGCGCAAGUCUGGAGUGAAAUCCCAUGGCUUAACCAUGGAACUGCUUUGGAAACUGUGCAGCUAGAGUGCAGGAGAGGUAAGCGGAAUUCCUAGUGUAGCGGGGAAAUGCGUAGAUAUUAGGAGGAACACCAGUGGCGAAGGCGGCUUACUGGACUGUAACUGACGUUGAGGCUCGAAAGCGUGGGGAGCAAACAGGAUUAGAUACCCUGGUAGUC